GAUGAAGAACGUAGCGAAACGCGAUAUGUAAUGUGAAUUGCAGAAUUCAGUGAAUCAUCGAAUCUUUGAACGCACCUUGCGCUCCUUGGUAUUCCGAGGAGCAUGCCUGUUUGAGUGUCAUUAAAUUCUCAACCUCACCAGUUUUGUAACGAGACAGGUGAAGGCUUGGAUGUGGGGGUUUUGCAGGCUGCCUCAGUGCUGGUCUGCUCUCCUGAAAUGCAUUAGCGAGCUCAUAUUGAGCUUCCGUCUAUUGGUGUGAUAAUUAUCUACGCCGUGGAUUGGACUCAUGCUUGCUUCUAACCGUCCGCAAGGACAAUUUACUUGACCAAUUUGACCUCAAAUCAGGUAGGACUACCCGCUGAACUUAAGCAUAUCAAUAAGCGGAGGA
RNAcentral lists this unclassified non-coding RNA (388 nucleotides) under soil metagenome. Its description in RNAcentral is "partial contains 5.8S ribosomal RNA, internal transcribed spacer 2, and large subunit ribosomal RNA". The stretch from base 1 to 120 matches the Rfam family "5.8S ribosomal RNA", at positions 35 to 154 of the family's 154-position model. The record is from RNAcentral.